Molecule: ribosomal RNA, 2926 nt
Filed under: Escherichia coli
Lineage: Bacteria; Pseudomonadati; Pseudomonadota; Gammaproteobacteria; Enterobacterales; Enterobacteriaceae
Description: 23S ribosomal RNA
Rfam family: Bacterial large subunit ribosomal RNA
Source: RNAcentral
GGGUUGUGAGGUUAAGCGACUAAGCGUACACGGUGGAUGCCCUGGCAGUCAGAGGCGAUGAAGGACGUGCUAAUCUGCGAUAAGCGUCGGUAAGGUGAUAUGAACCGUUAUAACCGGCGAUUUCCGAAUGGGGAAACCCAGUGUGUUUCGACACACUAUCAUUAACUGAAUCCAUAGGUUAAUGAGGCGAACCGGGGGAACUGAAACAUCUAAGUACCCCGAGGAAAAGAAAUCAACCGAGAUUCCCCCAGUAGCGGCGAGCGAACGGGGAGCAGCCCAGAGCCUGAAUCAGUGUGUGUGUUAGUGGAAGCGUCUGGAAAGGCGCGCGAUACAGGGUGACAGCCCCGUACACAAAAAUGCACAUAUUGUGAGCUCGAUGAGUAGGGCGGGACACGUGGUAUCCUGUCUGAAUAUGGGGGGACCAUCCUCCAAGGCUAAAUACUCCUGACUGACCGAUAGUGAACCAGUACCGUGAGGGAAAGGCGAAAAGAACCCCGGCGAGGGGAGUGAAAAAGAACCUGAAACCGUGUACGUACAAGCAGUGGGAGCCUCUUUAUGGGGUGACUGCGUACCUUUUGUAUAAUGGGUCAGCGACUUAUAUUCUGUAGCAAGGUUAACCGAAUAGGGGAGCCGAAGGGAAACCGAGUCUUAACUGGGCGUUAAGUUGCAGGGUAUAGACCCGAAACCCGGUGAUCUAGCCAUGGGCAGGUUGAAGGUUGGGUAACACUAACUGGAGGACCGAACCGACUAAUGUUGAAAAAUUAGCGGAUGACUUGUGGCUGGGGGUGAAAGGCCAAUCAAACCGGGAGAUAGCUGGUUCUCCCCGAAAGCUAUUUAGGUAGCGCCUCGUGAAUUCAUCUCCGGGGGUAGAGCACUGUUUCGGCAAGGGGGUCAUCCCGACUUACCAACCCGAUGCAAACUGCGAAUACCGGAGAAUGUUAUCACGGGAGACACACGGCGGGUGCUAACGUCCGUCGUGAAGAGGGAAACAACCCAGACCGCCAGCUAAGGUCCCAAAGUCAUGGUUAAGUGGGAAACGAUGUGGGAAGGCCCAGACAGCCAGGAUGUUGGCUUAGAAGCAGCCAUCAUUUAAAGAAAGCGUAAUAGCUCACUGGUCGAGUCGGCCUGCGCGGAAGAUGUAACGGGGCUAAACCAUGCACCGAAGCUGCGGCAGCGACGCUUAUGCGUUGUUGGGUAGGGGAGCGUUCUGUAAGCCGUUGAAGGUGGCCUGUGAGGGUUGCUGGAGGUAUCAGAAGUGCGAAUGCUGACAUAAGUAACGAUAAAGCGGGUGAAAAGCCCGCUCGCCGGAAGACCAAGGGUUCCUGUCCAACGUUAAUCGGGGCAGGGUGAGUCGACCCCUAAGGCGAGGCCGAAAGGCGUAGUCGAUGGGAAACAGGUUAAUAUUCCUGUACUUGGUGUUACUGCGAAGGGGGGACGGAGAAGGCUAUGUUGGCCGGGCGACGGUUGUCCCGGUUUAAGCGUGUAGGCUGGUUUUCCAGGCAAAUCCGGAAAAUCAAGGCUGAGGCGUGAUGACGAGGCACUACGGUGCUGAAGCAACAAAUGCCCUGCUUCCAGGAAAAGCCUCUAAGCAUCAGGUAACAUCAAAUCGUACCCCAAACCGACACAGGUGGUCAGGUAGAGAAUACCAAGGCGCUUGAGAGAACUCGGGUGAAGGAACUAGGCAAAAUGGUGCCGUAACUUCGGGAGAAGGCACGCUGAUAUGUAGGUGAAGCGACUUGCUCGUGGAGCUGAAAUCAGUCGAAGAUACCAGCUGGCUGCAACUGUUUAUUAAAAACACAGCACUGUGCAAACACGAAAGUGGACGUAUACGGUGUGACGCCUGCCCGGUGCCGGAAGGUUAAUUGAUGGGGUCAGCCGCAAGGCGAAGCUCUUGAUCGAAGCCCCGGUAAACGGCGGCCGUAACUAUAACGGUCCUAAGGUAGCGAAAUUCCUUGUCGGGUAAGUUCCGACCUGCACGAAUGGCGUAAUGAUGGCCAGGCUGUCUCCACCCGAGACUCAGUGAAAUUGAACUCGCUGUGAAGAUGCAGUGUACCCGCGGCAAGACGGAAAGACCCCGUGAACCUUUACUAUAGCUUGACACUGAACAUUGAGCCUUGAUGUGUAGGAUAGGUGGGAGGCUUUGAAGCGUGGACGCCAGUCUGCGUGGAGCCGACCUUGAAAUACCACCCUUUAAUGUUUGAUGUUCUAACGUGGACCCGUGAUCCGGGUUGCGGACAGUGUCUGGUGGGUAGUUUGACUGGGGCGGUCUCCUCCUAAAGAGUAACGGAGGAGCACGAAGGUUGGCUAAUCCUGGUCGGACAUCAGGAGGUUAGUGCAAUGGCAUAAGCCAGCUUGACUGCGAGCGUGACGGCGCGAGCAGGUGCGAAAGCAGGUCAUAGUGAUCCGGUGGUUCUGAAUGGAAGGGCCAUCGCUCAACGGAUAAAAGGUACUCCGGGGAUAACAGGCUGAUACCGCCCAAGAGUUCAUAUCGACGGCGGUGUUUGGCACCUCGAUGUCGGCUCAUCACAUCCUGGGGCUGAAGUAGGUCCCAAGGGUAUGGCUGUUCGCCAUUUAAAGUGGUACGCGAGCUGGGUUUAGAACGUCGUGAGACAGUUCGGUCCCUAUCUGCCGUGGGCGCUGGAGAACUGAGGGGGGCUGCUCCUAGUACGAGAGGACCGGAGUGGACGCAUCACUGGUGUUCGGGUUGUCAUGCCAAUGGCACUGCCCGGUAGCUAAAUGCGGAAGAGAUAAGUGCUGAAAGCAUCUAAGCACGAAACUUGCCCCGAGAUGAGUUCUCCCUGAGACUUUAAGUCUCCUGAAGGAACGUUGAAGACGACGACGUUGAUAGGCCGGGUGUGUAAGCGCAGCGAUGCGUUGAGCUAACCGGUACUAAUGAACCGUGAGGCUUAACCUUACAACGCCGAAG